AGAACCAUUCGACAUGGCAU
This 20-nucleotide microRNA is filed under the name Panagrellus redivivus. Its description in RNAcentral is "prd-miR-7907b-3p". The record is from miRBase by way of RNAcentral. Lineage: Eukaryota; Metazoa; Nematoda; Chromadorea; Rhabditida; Panagrolaimidae.